Molecule: ribosomal RNA, 505 nt
Filed under: Lactobacillales bacterium 'ARUP UnID 615'
Lineage: Bacteria; Bacillati; Bacillota; Bacilli; Lactobacillales
Description: bacterial SSU rRNA
Rfam family: Bacterial small subunit ribosomal RNA
Source: RNAcentral
GGACGAACGCUGGCGGCGUGCUUAAUACAUGCGAACGCACAGGAUGCACGCCUUCUUACUUGGCCGUAUUCUGUGAGUGGCGAACGGGUGAGUAACGCGUAGGUAACCUGCCCCCUUCUGGGGGAUAACCGCAGGAAACGAUAGCUAAUACGGCAUAAGAACUGCCUACUGCAUGGUAGGUGUGGGAAAGGUGCAAAUGCAUUGGUGUCAGGGGGAUGGGCCUGCGUUGUAUUAGCUUGUUGGUGGGGUAACGGCUCACCUAGGCGGUGAUACAUAGCCGGCCUGAGAGGGUGGUCGGUCACACUGGGACUGAGACACGGCCCAGACUCCUACGGGAGGCAGCAGUAGGGAAUCUUCGGCAAUGGGGGCAACCCUGAUCGAGCAACGCCGCGUGAGUGAAGGAGGCUUUCGGAUCGUAAAGCUCUGUUGUUAAGGAAGAAGGCCUGCCAGAAUGGAAAGUUGGUGGUGUGACGGUACUUAGAUAAGAAGGGACGGCUAACUACGU